Molecule: transfer RNA, 73 nt
Filed under: Camelus bactrianus (Bactrian camel)
Lineage: Eukaryota; Metazoa; Chordata; Mammalia; Artiodactyla; Camelidae
Also listed under: 3 other names
Rfam family: tRNA
About the family: Transfer RNA (tRNA) molecules are approximately 80 nucleotides in length. Their secondary structure includes four short double-helical elements and three loops (D, anti-codon, and T loops).
Source: Rfam by way of RNAcentral
GAGGGUAUAGCUCAGUGGUAGAGUGUGUGCUUAGCAUGCACAAGGUCCUGGGUUCAAAUCCCUAGUACUUCCA